AUUGAACGCUGGCGGCAGGCCUAACACAUGCAAGUCGAGCGGAUGAAGGGAGCUUGCUCCUGGAUUCAGCGGCGGACGGGUGAGUAAUGCCUAGGAAUCUGCCUGUUAGUGGGGGAUAACGUCCGGAAACGGGCGCUAAUACCGCAUACGUCCUGAGGGAGAAAGUGGGGGAUCUUCGGACCUCACGCUAUCAGAUGAGCCUAGGUCGGAUUAGCUAGUUGGUGGGGUAAAGGCCUACCAAGGCGACGAUCCGUAACUGGUCUGAGAGGAUGAUCAGUCACACUGGAACUGAGACACGGUCCAGACUCCUACGGGAGGCAGCAGUGGGGAAUAUUGGACAAUGGGCGAAAGCCUGAUCCAGCCAUGCCGCGUGUAUGAAGAAGGUCUUCGGAUUGUAAAGCACUUUAAGUUGGGAGGAAGGGAAGUAAGUUAAUACCUUGCUUUUUUGACGUUACCAACAGAAUAAGCACCGGCUAACUUCGUG
This 484-nucleotide ribosomal RNA is filed under the name uncultured bacterium. RNAcentral describes it as "partial 16S ribosomal RNA". It matches the Rfam family "Bacterial small subunit ribosomal RNA", at positions 30 to 507 of the family's 1533-position model. The record is from RNAcentral.